GCACAACCGGGGAGGGUCAUUGGAAACUGGGGAACUUGAGUGCAGAAGAGGAGAGUGGAAUUCCACGUGUAGCGGUGAAAUGCGUAGAGAUGUGGAGGAACACCAGUGGCGAAGGCGACUCUCUGGUCUGUAACUGACGCUGAGGCGCGAAAGCGUGGGGAGCGAACAGGAUUAGAUACCCUGGUAGUCCACGCCGUAAACGAUGAGUGCUAAGUGUUAGAGGGUUUCCGCCCUUUAGUGCUGCAGCAAACGCAUUAAGCACUCCGCCUGGGGAGUACGGUCGCAAGACUGAAACUCAAAGGAAUUGACGGGGGCCCGCACAAGCGGUGGAGCAUGUGGUUUAAUUCGAAGCAACGCGAAGAACCUUACCAGGUCUUGACAUCCUCUGACAACCCUAGAGAUAGGGCUUCCCCUUCGGGGGCAGAGUGACAGGUGGUGCAUGGUUGUCGUCAGCUCGUGUCGUGAGAUGUUGGGUUAAGUCCCGCAACGAGCGCAACCCUUGAUCUUAGUUGCCAGCAUUCAGUUGGGCACUCUAAGGUGACUGCCGGUGACAAACCGGAGGAAGGUGGGGAUGACGUCAAAUCAUCAUGCCCCUUAUGACCUGGGCUACACACGUGCUACAAUGGGCAGAACAAAG
This 637-nucleotide ribosomal RNA is filed under the name uncultured bacterium. Its description in RNAcentral is "bacterial SSU rRNA". It matches the Rfam family "Bacterial small subunit ribosomal RNA", at positions 607 to 1244 of the family's 1533-position model. The record is from RNAcentral.